This 1663-nucleotide ribosomal RNA is filed under the name Staphylococcus aureus. Its description in RNAcentral is "partial 23S ribosomal RNA". It matches the Rfam family "Bacterial large subunit ribosomal RNA", at positions 1263 to 2925 of the family's 2925-position model. The record is from RNAcentral. Lineage: Bacteria; Bacillati; Bacillota; Bacilli; Caryophanales; Staphylococcaceae.
GUAAGGACAUGUGGAGCGCUUAGAAGUGAGAAUGCCGGUGUGAGUAGCGAAAGACGGGUGAGAAUCCCGUCCACCGAUUGACUAAGGUUUCCAGAGGAAGGCUCGUCCGCUCUGGGUUAGUCGGGUCCUAAGCUGAGGCCGACAGGCGUAGGCGAUGGAUAACAGGUUGAUAUUCCUGUACCACCUAUAAUCGUUUUAAUCGAUGGGGGGACGCAGUAGGAUAGGCGAAGCGUGCGAUUGGAUUGCACGUCUAAGCAGUAAGGCUGAGUAUUAGGCAAAUCCGGUACUCGUUAAGGCUGAGCUGUGAUGGGGAGAAGACAUUGUGUCUUCGAGUCGUUGAUUUCACACUGCCGAGAAAAGCCUCUAGAUAGAAAAUAGGUGCCCGUACCGCAAACCGACACAGGUAGUCAAGAUGAGAAUUCUAAGGUGAGCGAGCGAACUCUCGUUAAGGAACUCGGCAAAAUGACCCCGUAACUUCGGGAGAAGGGGUGCUCUUUAGGGUUAACGCCCAGAAGAGCCGCAGUGAAUAGGCCCAAGCGACUGUUUAUCAAAAACACAGGUCUCUGCUAAACCGUAAGGUGAUGUAUAGGGGCUGACGCCUGCCCGGUGCUGGAAGGUUAAGAGGAGUGGUUAGCUUCUGCGAAGCUACGAAUCGAAGCCCCAGUAAACGGCGGCCGUAACUAUAACGGUCCUAAGGUAGCGAAAUUCCUUGUCGGGUAAGUUCCGACCCGCACGAAAGGCGUAACGAUUUGGGCACUGUCUCAACGAGAGACUCGGUGAAAUCAUAGUACCUGUGAAGAUGCAGGUUACCCGCGACAGGACGGAAAGACCCCGUGGAGCUUUACUGUAGCCUGAUAUUGAAAUUCGGCACAGCUUGUACAGGAUAGGUAGGAGCCUUUGAAACGUGAGCGCUAGCUUACGUGGAGGCGCUGGUGGGAUACUACCCUAGCUGUGUUGGCUUUCUAACCCGCACCACUUAUCGUGGUGGGAGACAGUGUCAGGCGGGCAGUUUGACUGGGGCGGUCGCCUCCUAAAAGGUAACGGAGGCGCUCAAAGGUUCCCUCAGAAUGGUUGGAAAUCAUUCAUAGAGUGUAAAGGCAUAAGGGAGCUUGACUGCGAGACCUACAAGUCGAGCAGGGUCGAAAGACGGACUUAGUGAUCCGGUGGUUCCGCAUGGAAGGGCCAUCGCUCAACGGAUAAAAGCUACCCCGGGGAUAACAGGCUUAUCUCCCCCAAGAGUUCACAUCGACGGGGAGGUUUGGCACCUCGAUGUCGGCUCAUCGCAUCCUGGGGCUGUAGUCGGUCCCAAGGGUUGGGCUGUUCGCCCAUUAAAGCGGUACGCGAGCUGGGUUCAGAACGUCGUGAGACAGUUCGGUCCCUAUCCGUCGUGGGCGUAGGAAAUUUGAGAGGAGCUGUCCUUAGUACGAGAGGACCGGGAUGGACAUACCUCUGGUGUACCAGUUGUCGUGCCAACGGCAUAGCUGGGUAGCUAUGUGUGGACGGGAUAAGUGCUGAAAGCAUCUAAGCAUGAAGCCCCCCUCAAGAUGAGAUUUCCCAACUUCGGUUAUAAGAUCCCUCAAAGAUGAUGAGGUUAAUAGGUUCGAGGUGGAAGCAUGGUGACAUGUGGAGCUGACGAAUACUAAUCGAUCGAAGACUUAAUCAA